Non-coding RNA from Rhamnusium bicolor, 72 nucleotides. NCBI's taxonomy places the organism in Eukaryota, Metazoa, Arthropoda, Insecta, Coleoptera, Cerambycidae. The record is from the annotation of a GenBank genome assembly.
GUCUUCAUGAUCGAGUGGUAAGGACGCUUGCCUCUCACAGUGGAGUCCGCGGUUCGAUCCCCGGUGAGGAGU